AUGGGGUUUUGCUAUGGGUCUUCGGAUAUCAUGGUGCUCCCCAAGAACAGCUCUUCGGCUUCCUCGCUCUCACGGUCCCCUAAAGCUUUCGGCGAUGGUGCCAAGAAGAAGCAGCCUCAAGCUGUAAAGAAGGAAGAGAAAGAGAAGGAAGAGAAAGAGAAGAAGAGGGGCAACCUUGACCGGUCCGCCAUGGCAGCGCCCCACCUCCCCUUCCAUUCUCGACCUGGCCUAAUGUAA
RNAcentral lists this ribosomal RNA (237 nucleotides) under Triticum aestivum (bread wheat). RNAcentral describes it as "partial small subunit ribosomal RNA". Lineage: Eukaryota; Viridiplantae; Streptophyta; Magnoliopsida; Poales; Poaceae. The record is from RNAcentral.